Molecule: ribosomal RNA, 505 nt
Filed under: uncultured bacterium
Lineage: Bacteria
Description: partial 16S ribosomal RNA
Rfam family: Bacterial small subunit ribosomal RNA
Source: RNAcentral
GACGAACGCUGGCGGCGUGCCUAAUACAUGCAAGUAGAACGCACAGUUUAUACCGUAGCUUGCUACACCAUAGACUGUGAGUUGCGAACGGGUGAGUAACGCGUAGGUAACCUGCCUGGUAGCGGGGGAUAACUAUUGGAAACGAUAGCUAAUACCGCAUAAUAUUGAUUAUUGCAUGAUAAUUGAUUGAAAGCUGCUAUUGCAUCACUACCAGAUGGACCUGCGUUGUAUUAGCUAGUAGGUGAGGUAACGGCUCACCUAGGCGACGAUACAUAGCCGACCUGAGAGGGUGAUCGGCCACACUGGGACUGAGACACGGCCCAGACUCCUACGGGAGGCAGCAGUAGGGAAUCUUCGGCAAUGGACGAAAGUCUGACCGAGCAACGCCGCGUGAGUGAAGAAGGUUUUCGGAUCGUAAAGCUCUGUUGUAAGAGAAGAACGGGUGUGAGAGUGGAAAGUUCACACUGUGACGGUAUCUGACCAGAAAGGGACGGCUAACUACGUG